This 391-nucleotide ribosomal RNA is filed under the name uncultured eukaryote. Its description in RNAcentral is "SSU rRNA". It matches the Rfam family "Eukaryotic small subunit ribosomal RNA", at positions 587 to 972 of the family's 1831-position model. The record is from RNAcentral.
AGCUCCAAUAGCGUAUAUUAAAGUUGUUGCAGUUAAAAAGCUCGUAGCUGGCUCUCGGGAACAGGCGAGCGGUCCGGCUCACGCCGGUUCACUGUUCGACUCCUGUCCUUGUUGUCUGUCGGCUCUCUCCCUUGGUGCCUUUCACUAGGCGUCUUGGGUGGCCGACGCGUUUACUUUGAAAAAAUUAGAGUGUUCAAAGCAGGCCUUGGUCGCCUGAAUAAUGGUGCAUGGAAUAAUGGAAUAGGACCUCGGUUCUAUUUUGUUGGUUCUCGGAGCGGAGGUAAUGAUUAAAAGGGACAAACGGGGGCAUUCGUAUUGCGGCGUUAGAGGUGAAAUUCUUGGAUCGCCGCAAGACGAGCUACUGCGAAAGCAUUUGUCAAGAAUGUUUUCA